CCUACGGGUGGCUGCAGUGAGGAAUAUUGGUCAAUGGGCGUAAGCCUGAACCAGCCAAGUCGCGUGAGGGAUGAAGGUUCUAUGGAUCGUAAACCUCUUUUAUAAGGGAAUAAAGUGUGGGACGUGUCCUAUUUUGUAUGUACCUUAUGAAUAAGGAUCGGCUAACUCCGUGCCAGCAGCCGCGGUAAUACGGAGGAUCCGAGCGUUAUCCGGAUUUAUUGGGUUUAAAGGGUGGGUAGGCGGCCUUUUAAGUCAGCGGUGAAAGUCUGGGGCUAAACCAUAGAAUUGCCGUUGAAACUGGGGGGCUUGAGUAUGGUUGAGGCAGGAGGAAUGCGUGGUGUAGCGGUGAAAUGCUUAGAUAUCACGCAGAACCACGAUUGCGAAGGCAGCCUGCCAAGCCAUGACUGACGCUGAUGCACGAAAGCGUGGGGAUCAAACAGGAUUAGAUACCCCAGUAGUC
RNAcentral lists this ribosomal RNA (460 nucleotides) under uncultured bacterium. RNAcentral describes it as "partial 16S ribosomal RNA". It matches the Rfam family "Bacterial small subunit ribosomal RNA", at positions 338 to 795 of the family's 1533-position model. The record is from RNAcentral.